CACCAAUCAAGCGCAGCUUGGUGUUGGGGCACCCGGCCGCCCAGCGGCCCGGGGCCCCCAAGUGCAUCGGCGGGCUCGCCGGGACCCUGAACGCAGUAACACGCGGUAAAACGCGCCCUCGUUCGGCGGUCACGGGCGGGUUCUUGCCGCUAAACCCGCCACAAUGUGGUUUUUCUCA
Molecule: unclassified non-coding RNA, 178 nt
Filed under: uncultured Magnaporthaceae
Lineage: Eukaryota; Fungi; Ascomycota; Sordariomycetes; Magnaporthales; Magnaporthaceae
Description: sequence contains ITS2
Source: RNAcentral